RNAcentral lists this small RNA (29 nucleotides) under Bombyx mori (domestic silkworm). Its description in RNAcentral is "ovarian small RNA-25092". The record is from RNAcentral. Lineage: Eukaryota; Metazoa; Arthropoda; Insecta; Lepidoptera; Bombycidae.
UCACCACAUCCUCCAGUGCUUGAGAUAGC